CCCUUAGAUGUCCUGGGCCGCACGCGCGUUACACUGAUGCAUUCAACGAGCUUAUAACCUUGGCCGAGAGGCCUGGGCAAUCUUGUUAACGCGCAUCGUGAUAGGGAUAGAUUAUUGAAAUUAUUAAUCUUGAACGAGGAAUUCCUAGUAAACGCAGAUCAUCAAUCUGCAUUGAUUACGUCCCUGCCCUUUGUACACACCGCCCGUCGCACCUACCGAUUGGAUGGUCCGGUGAAGCCUCGGGAUUGUGGUUCUUGCCGCUUUAUUGUGGCGUGACCGCGAGAACUUGUCUAAACCUUAUCAUCUAGAGGAAGGUGAANUCGUANCA
RNAcentral lists this ribosomal RNA (328 nucleotides) under uncultured eukaryote. Its description in RNAcentral is "partial 18S ribosomal RNA". It matches the Rfam family "Eukaryotic small subunit ribosomal RNA", at positions 1470 to 1796 of the family's 1831-position model. The record is from RNAcentral.